ACUUUCAACAACGGAUCUCUUGGUUCUGGCAUCGAUGAAGAACGCAGCGAAAUGCGAUAAGUAAUGUGAAUUGCAAAAUUCAGUGAAUCAUCGAAUCUUUGAACGCACAUUGCGCCCCGUGGUAUUCCGCGGGGCAUGCCUGUUCGAGCGUCAUUUCA
This 158-nucleotide ribosomal RNA is filed under the name Amycosphaerella keniensis. RNAcentral describes it as "5.8S ribosomal RNA". It matches the Rfam family "5.8S ribosomal RNA". From Rfam's summary of the family: 5.8S ribosomal RNA (5.8S rRNA) is a component of the large subunit of the eukaryotic ribosome. It is transcribed by RNA polymerase I as part of the 45S precursor that also contains 18S and 28S rRNA. The record is from RNAcentral. Lineage: Eukaryota; Fungi; Ascomycota; Dothideomycetes; Mycosphaerellales; Mycosphaerellaceae.